GGGCUAAGCAUGGUUGCUGCUGUUACAAGCCGUGAAAUGAAGAUUUGAUUUGGGUCGCUGCAAACGUUGAAACGGGGUGCUGCAAGUGAAGAUUGUGGUUGCUGCCUUGCAUCGUGGGCCAUUACAUUUGGUUAAUUGGAUCAGAAAGGCAGCUGCCACCCUACUUGGAUUCCAUCUUAAUGAAGCGCAACGUUUUGGAGAAGCCCUCACUUGAGUUGCUGCUGAUUAAGCCACGUGGCUGAACUUGGGCUGCACUUGAAUUAAUGAAACUAUGCGUUUUGGCCUGGCAGCAGUGACUGGGGUGGUCCUUGCUCGUGCAACUCAUUUGGAAAAAAACGAAUUUCCUGAAGCAUUUGUCAUUUGGAGAGAAACACCCUCGAGCUAGGGCUUAUUCAAGUGAGAAGAGGAGAACUCCACUGGAUGCGCGCCACUUACCUGAAGACGUGACCAGACCCAAGCUUUCGAUCUGCCCGGAGCUGCCCGGAGAAGAUGAUCGGUGCUGCCACGUGGAGGAUCGGAUGGCUGAAGACCCAGCUCGUGAUCAACGCGAACAGAGCCGUCCGAUGGGGGUAAAAGCUUCUUGAGUAAGCUUUCCUUUUUUUUUUCUUUUCUUUGUUUCGUUUUCUGACCCUAUAAAAAGGGUUUUGUAAAUAGACUUCUGGGGAGACACUUUCAGCUACCAUUUUCACAAUUUUAGACUAGGAUUUUCAUUUCUCGUGCUUUUGGAGCGAAACACUCACGGUGGUGACAGCCCAUGGUGGCUCCGAUUGUGCAUCUCGUUCGGUACACUCCAUUGUAAUUGUUCUUUCUUGUUAACAAAAUGUUCUUUUUCAUUGAUGUGUUUAUGUAGUGUGCUUUAUUUGUUGAAUUGAUUGUGUCUUUUCUGUAAUGUUUCUGUGAUUCUUGUGUUUUGAUUUGAAAAUUGAGUUGAACUCGUGUGACUCUGCAAUUUUAUGAUUCCUCUGGAAUCGAAUGACUCCACA
RNAcentral lists this long non-coding RNA (983 nucleotides) under Vigna radiata. Its description in RNAcentral is "long non-coding RNA (VRAD_LNC012402)". Lineage: Eukaryota; Viridiplantae; Streptophyta; Magnoliopsida; Fabales; Fabaceae. The record is from RNAcentral.